Molecule: ribosomal RNA, 806 nt
Filed under: Salmonella enterica subsp. enterica serovar Typhimurium
Lineage: Bacteria; Pseudomonadati; Pseudomonadota; Gammaproteobacteria; Enterobacterales; Enterobacteriaceae
Description: partial 23S ribosomal RNA
Rfam family: Bacterial large subunit ribosomal RNA
Source: RNAcentral
GCCUUGAUGUGUAGGAUAGGUGGGAGGCUUUGAAGUGUGGACGCCAGUCUGCAUGGAGCCGACCUUGAAAUACCACCCUUUAAUGUUUGAUGUUCUAACGUGGACCCGUUACCCGGGUUGCGGACAGUGUCUGGUGGGUAGUUUGACUGGGGCGGUCUCCUCCUAAAGAGUAACGGAGGAGCACGAAGGUUGGCUAAUCCUGGUCGGACAUCAGGAGGUUAGUGCAAUGGCAUAAGCCAGCUUGACUGCGAGCGUGACGGCGCGAGCAGGUGCGAAAGCAGGUCAUAGUGAUCCGGUGGUUCUGAAUGGAAGGGCCAUCGCUCAACGGAUAAAAGGUACUCCGGGGAUAACAGGCUGAUACCGCCCAAGAGUUCAUAUCGACGGCGGUGUUUGGCACCUCGAUGUCGGCUCAUCACAUCCUGGGGCUGAAGUAGGUCCCAAGGGUAUGGCUGUUCGCCAUUUAAAGUGGUACGCGAGCUGGGUUUAGAACGUCGUGAGACAGUUCGGUCCCUAUCUGCCGUGGGCGCUGGAGAACUGAGGGGGGCUGCUCCUAGUACGAGAGGACCGGAGUGGACGCAUCACUGGUGUUCGGGUUGUCAUGCCAAUGGCACUGCCCGGUAGCUAAAUGCGGAAGAGAUAAGUGCUGAAAGCAUCUAAGCACGAAACUUGCCCCGAGAUGAGUUCUCCCUGAGACUUAGAGUCUCCUGAAGGAACGUUGAAGACGACGACGUUGAUAGGCCGGGUGUGUAAGCGCAGCGAUGCGUUGAGCUAACCGGUACUAAUGAACCGUGAGGCUUAACCUUACA